This 221-nucleotide ribosomal RNA is filed under the name uncultured bacterium. Its description in RNAcentral is "partial 16S ribosomal RNA". It matches the Rfam family "Bacterial small subunit ribosomal RNA", at positions 524 to 744 of the family's 1533-position model. The record is from RNAcentral.
UACGAAGGGGGCUAGCGUUGUUCGGAAUUACUGGGCGUAAAGCGCACGUAGGCGGGUCGUUAAGUCAGGGGUGAAAAUCCCGGAGCUCAACUCCGGAACUGCCUUUGAUACUGGCGACCUCGAGGCCGGAAGAGGUUAGUGGAAUUCCCAGUGUAGAGGUGAAAUUCGUAGAUAUUGGGAAGAACACCAGUGGCGAAGGCGGCUAACUGGCCGGUACUGGA